AACGCGAAGAACCUUACCAGGCCUUGACAUGCAUUAGACCGGCGCUGAAAGGCGCCCUCCCUUCGGGGCUGGUGCACAGGUGCUGCAUGGCUGUCGUCAGCUCGUGUCGUGAGAUGUUGCGUUAAGUCGCGCAACGAGCGCAACCCCUGUCCUUAGUUGCCAUCAUUCAGUUGGGCACUCUAGGGAGACAAACCCUCUUUGAGGGUGGGAAGGUGGGGAUGACGUCAAGUCAGGAUGGCCCUUACGGCCUGGGCUGCACACGUACUACAAUGCCCGGUACAGAGGGAAGCAAUACCGCGAGGUGGAGCAAAAUCCUCAAAAACCGGGCCCAGUUCAGAUUGUAGUCUGCAACUCGACUACAUGAAGUUGGAAUCGCUAGUAAUGGCGCAUCAGCUACGGCGCCGUGAAUACGUUCCCGGGCCUUGUACACACGUACAGU
This 439-nucleotide ribosomal RNA is filed under the name uncultured bacterium. RNAcentral's name for it is "bacterial SSU rRNA". It matches the Rfam family "Bacterial small subunit ribosomal RNA", at positions 958 to 1397 of the family's 1533-position model. The record is from RNAcentral.